UGGAAAUGAUGACAUUGAGAUUUGAGGUGUUGAGUGAAUGUUUAUUGGAGAUUGCAAGUUUAUUCGAUGUUGUAUAACUUAAUUAAUAAUUGUGUGUGCAUGCGUGUGUGGUACUCUUGGUUAUUUGCAAGGGGGCUCUGAAAUUACUUUGCAGAUUUCGGAGUGCAUCUGAGGGAUGUUGCAUUGUGCAGGGCUUCUCUGCAACAUUUCCAGUGAUUAGAGCCUACAUUGGCUCCCUUAAAUAACCUGCACACCCUUAUAUCUCUUAACGUGUGCGUGAUUAACACGCACUCGUGAUCUGAUCCAA
Non-coding RNA from Xenopus laevis (African clawed frog), 307 nucleotides. Lineage: Eukaryota; Metazoa; Chordata; Amphibia; Anura; Pipidae. The record is from Rfam.